UACGAAGGGUGCUAGCGUUGUUCGGAAUCACUGGGCGUAAAGCGUGCGUAGGCGGUUUCUUAAGUCUGAUGUGAAAGCCCGGGGCUCAACCCCGGAUGUGCAUUGGAUACUGGGAGGCUAGAGAUUGGGAGAGGAAAGUGGAAUUCCGAGUGUAGAGGUGAAAUUCGUAGAUAUUCGGAGGAACACCAGUGGCGAAGGCGACUUUCUGGACCAACACUGACGCUGAGGCACGAAAGCGUGGGGAUCAAACAGG
RNAcentral lists this ribosomal RNA (253 nucleotides) under uncultured bacterium. Its description in RNAcentral is "partial 16S ribosomal RNA". It matches the Rfam family "Bacterial small subunit ribosomal RNA", at positions 524 to 776 of the family's 1533-position model. The record is from RNAcentral.